GUGCUCCCUUCGGCUGCACAUAUACUAAAAUUCGAGCAAUACAGAGAAGGUUAGCAUGGCUCCUGUGCAAGGAUGGCAUGCAAAUUCGUGAAGAGGUACAUUUAAAA
RNAcentral lists this small nuclear RNA (107 nucleotides) under Cebus imitator (Panamanian white-faced capuchin). The record is from RNAcentral. Lineage: Eukaryota; Metazoa; Chordata; Mammalia; Primates; Cebidae.